This 301-nucleotide ribosomal RNA is filed under the name uncultured bacterium. RNAcentral's name for it is "partial 16S ribosomal RNA". It matches the Rfam family "Bacterial small subunit ribosomal RNA", at positions 509 to 807 of the family's 1533-position model. The record is from RNAcentral.
CAGUCGCCGCGGGAAAACGGAGGGUGCAAGCGUUAAUCGGAAUUACUGGGCGUAAAGCGUGCGUAGGCGGUUCGUUAAGUCUGUUGUGAAAGCCCCGGGCUCAACCUGGGAACUGCAUUUGUGACUGCAUGGCUAGAGUACGGUAGAGGGGGAUGGAAUUCCGCGUGUAGCAGUGAAAUGCGUAGAUAUGCGGAGGAACACCGAUGGCGAAGGCAAUCCCCUGGGCCUGUACUGACGCUCAUGCACGAAAGCGUGGGGAGCAAACAGGAUUAGAUACCCCGGUAGUCCCUGUCUCUUAUAC